UUGCAUCUGAGGCCAGUGAGGAUGAGAACCUCCGGGGGCAGGAGGUUCGACUCGAGCGAAGCGAGAGAACGUUGCGUCAGCAACGGCCCGCAGGGCGAGCCACGAAGCGGUGAGUCAUCCUCUAUCACCGACCA
This 134-nucleotide small RNA is filed under the name Klebsiella pneumoniae. Its description in RNAcentral is "RtT sRNA". It matches the Rfam family "RtT RNA". Rfam says of the family: This family represents a bacterial cis-regulatory element known as RtT RNA. The exact function of RtT is unknown although it is thought that it may be involved in changing the cellular response in relation to amino acid starvation. The record is from RNAcentral. Lineage: Bacteria; Pseudomonadati; Pseudomonadota; Gammaproteobacteria; Enterobacterales; Enterobacteriaceae.